Molecule: long non-coding RNA, 287 nt
Filed under: Elaeis guineensis (African oil palm)
Lineage: Eukaryota; Viridiplantae; Streptophyta; Magnoliopsida; Arecales; Arecaceae
Description: long non-coding RNA (EGUI_LNC012675)
Source: RNAcentral
CAACUCAGGUAUGUGGAAGAUGGAUGCCCAACUCUUGGAUGUGGGAAAGAGAAGAGGGAGAGAGGAAGAGGCAUGGAGAUAUAGGAGAAAGAGUUUAGAAUUCUCAAAAUUCAAUCUUAUGGAACCCUAGGAAACCAUCUUCUUAAAUAGGCCUUUCUUGAUUCCAAAUCAUUAUUGAAUCAAGCUAAAAAGAUUAGAUCUUAUCUCAUAAGUUCUCUUACCUUUUAAUUUGAUUUUUUUAAAAAAAAUCAAACCUAAUUAGAAAGGCCAUCUCCUCUUUUGGCAAG